This 221-nucleotide long non-coding RNA is filed under the name Hordeum vulgare. Its description in RNAcentral is "long non-coding RNA (HVUL_LNC020966)". Lineage: Eukaryota; Viridiplantae; Streptophyta; Magnoliopsida; Poales; Poaceae. The record is from RNAcentral.
GUUAUUUUUUGUUGUUGUUGUUGUUGUUGUUGUUGUUGUCGUCGUCGUCUUCGUCGUCGUCGUCGUCGUUGUUGUCGUUGUUGUCAUUGUUCUCUCCGUUGUCAUCGUCGCUGUUGUUGUCAUUGUUGUCUUGUUCUCGUCGUUGUCAUUGUUGUCAUCGUUGUUGUCAUCGUUGUUGUUAUAGUUGUUGUUGUUAUUGUUGUCGUUGUUGACGUUGUUGU